UACGAGGGGUGCAAGCGUUGCUCGGAAUUAUUGGGCGUAAAGGGUAGGUAGGUGGUCUCAUUUGUCAGGGGUGAAAGCCUUGGGCUUAACCUAAGAAGUGCCCCUGAAACGGUGAGACUGGAGUCCUGGAGAGGGUCGUGGAAUUCCCGGUGUAGCGGUGAAAUGCGUAGAGAUCGGGAGGAACACCGGUGGCGAAGGCGGUUCUCUGGGCCUGUACUGACGCUGAGGAGCGAAAGCGUGGGGAGCGAACAGG
RNAcentral lists this ribosomal RNA (253 nucleotides) under uncultured bacterium. RNAcentral's name for it is "partial 16S ribosomal RNA". It matches the Rfam family "Bacterial small subunit ribosomal RNA", at positions 524 to 776 of the family's 1533-position model. The record is from RNAcentral.